Mesocricetus auratus (golden hamster) is the source of this 2688-nucleotide long non-coding RNA. RefSeq lists it as uncharacterized. The record is from RefSeq and is a predicted model, not a curated record. Lineage: Eukaryota; Metazoa; Chordata; Mammalia; Rodentia; Cricetidae. The transcript is spliced from 3 exons.
CUUGCUGUCACCUGCGAUUUCCUUCUUUUCCUGUCAUCCCAUUUCCUAUUUGUCAACCAUUUGUAAAUCCAUCUUCACUGUGGUGUUCCUUGCCACUGGGGGCGCCUGCCUUUGGGAACCUAGAGGAACUGGGGAAUGGAGGGGCAUCAGUGCCAUGGCCGAGGAGAGCUGAACCCCGUUUUCAGAAUCACUAGGCUAGAGCCCAAGCCUAGGCUCUGCCCAGCCCGAGGGCAACCCCGGGGUCUCCUGGGAGAUGCAGUUCCCGCGCACUCCCAGAGGCCUGUGCACCAGCAGGUGCCAACGGCGCCAACGACGCCAACGACGCCAACGGUGCCCAAGGAGCCUGAGAGGCUGGCGGCCGAAAGAGGAGUGGCCGUGUCCUGCCUGCUGAGCCACCAAGGGGUCAGGCUAGACCGGGGUCGGGGCGCACAGCACUGCGUUUCCAGAGCCCCUGGCCACCUUGGCAGUGGUUUAACGUUGGGUCUGAACUGCCAUUCACUGGGCAGCACCUUAGCUACUGCAUGCGGGGCGAGGCUGUGAACAUCCGGCCCAGAGAAGCAGGACGCCCACAGGAGCAUGCCCACCCUCACUAAGCUAAGGAUGUGGUGGGAACUCAAAAUCAGAGACUUCCAGAAGAUCCUGGCCACCAGCUGGUGCCUCACGCAGAAGCCCCUCAGGUCUUGCCAGCACCGGACCUAUUUUUUUUCUCCUGUAGUUUUGCCUUGGCUCAAGACCCAUCUUCACGAGUGCUCUUGUCCCUGGGAGCUCUUUUGGAAGCCUGGCUGUCCCUGUGCUCUGCAAGAGCAGACAAGAUGUGGGUCUUUGUGGGGACCGGGUCAGUCCUGAACUGGGAGGAGAAGACUGGAGUCUGGGCAUCUUAGGGAUGCUGGGAACAAACUCCUGGGGACAGCCUGUCCCUUUGUGACCAGGAGGGGUUUCAGCAGGAAAUUCAGCCUAGUCCUGGGGGCCACAGCCUCUGCCUUAAGAAUGUAAUUUCAAAGGGGAUGAUACUUCCCAAGCAUCAGUGUGUCAGACACAAGGCCAGGACUGAGUAAUGAGCAUGGUGAGAGUUGAGGAGCUGACAUGCCCUCCGACAGGCAGGCCCCGAGGAAGGCUGCCUGAAGGAGCUUAGCCCAUGGGCUCAAGGGAGGCAGAGGACUGGGUUUGCCUUUCAGAACCCAGUGGUCUGAUUUCCACAGAAAAUUCCUAUGGUAAUUUGGUAAAGCUCCUGUCCUCCACACAUGGAAGGGAAAUGGAGAUGUGGGAAGGGUAGCAUAAAAACUCCUCCCUGGAGGGGCUGGACUGUGCCAGCGGGGCUCAGCUGAUGCUGUCUUCUGUGGCUCCACUGGCUCUCCUCUUCUCCUUUUCCUCUGGGGGCAGAGCCUGUGCAUUCUGCCUCCCUGUAAGGCUUCCUGGCAGCAGCUUCCUCAGAACUGGAGGGUCAGGCAGACUCCGGCCCAUCCAGCCACACUCCCUACAGUCCCUCAGUGGGGACUCGAGGGGCAGUACCAGGGCAAAGGUGGAAUGGAUGCUUCUCACCCUGUGUAAGAAAGUCAGCCAGCAGUAUCUGUUGCUGUGUAACAAACUACCCCACAAUUUAGCAGCUUGAACAUAUUACAGGUUCGGUGGUUUAGGAAUCCAAGUGGCUUAGUGGUGUCUCUGCCUGGUGGGGUCUCACAGGCCACAGUCUGCAUGCGCUCAGGCUAUGGUCCCAUGUGAAGGUCCAGCCAAGAGGACACGCGGUCAGGCACACGCAAGUGCAGUUGACAAGAUUCGGUUCCUCUGCAGCAAACUGACAGAGGGCCUCGUUUGCUGCUUUUUGGCGGGAGCUCUCAGUUCUUGCAGGGGCUUAUUGACAGUAUCCACCGUGCCUGAUCAAAGCAAGAGAGCAAAUGAGGAAGUGGCCUCUUUGUCAUCCAUCUGACUUGAUAAGGGACAUUCUGGGAUGCUUUGCUGUUUGUGGGAGUUCAAGCCCCUACUGGGGUACAUGAACCAGGAAGGGAGAUGGUGACAACCACCUCAAGGUUCAUCUCCACAACUUACCAUAAUACCAACUCCUCAGCUGAUGUGGAGACACAAUACUGUGUUCAGUAUCUCGUCACCCUAUUUUAUGACUAUUUAAAACCACUGACGUCGUGUUAUAUCCCGAGAUAUGACCAGGGAGUAAUGGGCCCAUGCUUGAUUGGGCCAUCUGUGGUCUCCAAUGACCCCUUUCCAAAGCAGUUAAUUUCCUUGAAUUUUGAGUUAUGUACAGCAUGUAAAGCUAGGUUAUUCCUCAAACUGAAAGCUUAGGCUCUCAGUUGAUACUUCAAAGGUCCCUUACGACCAGUCUACUAACUGGGGGAACCGAUGGAUAAGCAUGGGGAGAAGUCUGCCUUGGAACCCUUGUCUGUAUCCACAGGAGCCACACAGAUACGGCUUGAAACACAGCAGAGUCCAUAUCUCAGCAGAGCUCCUUUUAACCCUCCUAGACAGAGCAGGCACACUCACCUCCCUGUGGUCCCUCAAGGCUUUCUAAGGCUUUGGUGAGGUCCACAAUUCCUCUGAACCUGCUCUAGAGGCAUCAGUUCUGCAACAGGGUGUUCCAGCAUAGCAUGGCAAUCUUUAGUGUUUCCCAACUCUAGAUUCAUGAAGAGCUGGUACCCUUGGCUAUUGUAUAUAGACGUAAUAAACUCAAUCUAUAAAGGA